GACGAACGCUGGCGGCGUGCUUAACACAUGCAAGUCGAACGGAAAGGCCCUGCUUUUGUGGGGUGCUCGAGUGGCGAACGGGUGAGUAACACGUGAGUAACCUGCCCUUGACUUUGGGAUAACUUCAGGAAACUGGGGCUAAUACCGGAUAGGAGCUCCUGCUGCAUGGUGGGGGUUGGAAAGUUUCGGCGGUUGGGGAUGGACUCGCGGCUUAUCAGCUUGUUGGUGGGGUAGUGGCUUACCAAGGCUUUGACGGGUAGCCGGCCUGAGAGGGUGACCGGCCACAUUGGGACCGAGAUACGGCCCAGACUCCUCCGGGAGGCAGCAGUGGGGAAUAUUGCACAAUGGGCGGACGCCUGAUGCAGCAACGCCGCGUGCGGGAUGACGGCCUUCGGGUUGUAAACCGCUUUCGCCUGUGACGAAGCGUGAGUGACGGUAAUGGGUAAAGAAGCACCGGCUAACUACGU
Molecule: ribosomal RNA, 467 nt
Filed under: uncultured bacterium
Lineage: Bacteria
Description: partial 16S ribosomal RNA
Rfam family: Bacterial small subunit ribosomal RNA
Source: RNAcentral